RNAcentral lists this ribosomal RNA (245 nucleotides) under uncultured bacterium. RNAcentral's name for it is "partial small subunit ribosomal RNA". It matches the Rfam family "Bacterial small subunit ribosomal RNA", at positions 26 to 285 of the family's 1533-position model. The record is from RNAcentral.
AGAAUCAACGCUGGCGGCGUGCCUAACACAUGCAAGUCGCACGAGAAAGGGUAGCAAUACCUGAGUAAAGUGGCGCACGGGUGAGUAACCCGUGAAUUAUCUACCUCCGAGUGGGGAAUAACUGAGAGAAAUCUUAGCUAAUACCGCAUAACACUUACGAGUCAAAGCAGCAAUGCGCUUGGAGAGGAGUUCGCGGCCGAUUAGUUAGUUGGCGGGGUAAUGGCCCACCAAGACGAUGAUCGGUA